Hydractinia symbiolongicarpus is the source of this 1301-nucleotide RNA transcript. RefSeq lists it as uncharacterized. Lineage: Eukaryota; Metazoa; Cnidaria; Hydrozoa; Anthoathecata; Hydractiniidae. The transcript is spliced from 11 exons. The record is from RefSeq and is a predicted model, not a curated record.
AAUUUGCAUUAUUUUUAUUAGGAUAAAACAAUAUAUAUAACAAGAAUGUUGAGCAACAACGUCAGUGAAUAUGAGAAGCUACGGCAGAAAAAUAUUGAAGAAAAUAAGAAGAUGUUGGAAAGUUUAGGCUUGCUCAGAUCUUUUAAACCCAUCCUUGAACCAAUUAAAAAACGUGUGCCUGUACAAAAAAAGCCCCAACCAGCAGUAAAAAGAAAAUUUGAAGGUGAAACCAACACCACAGAAUUAGUUGCAUAUGAAGGUGUUCGAGUAAGAAGAUCAUUGCGGAACAAAGGCAUAGAGCCUGAUGGGACGCCUUUACCAGAUGACAUAGAUGAUAUUGAUACAUACAAACCAAAGCCACCAAAAUUAAAAAGAGAAAAUUAUUUUGGCCCACCAGAAGGAAUUCCAGUUGGUACACACUGGGAAACAAGAAUGGGGUGCAGUGCAGAUGGAGUACAUCGUCCAACUGUUGCUGGUAUUCACGGCAACGAGAAUUAUGGAUGCUAUUCCAUUGCACUUUCAGGUGGCUAUGAAGACGAUAUUGACUUGGGAGUCAGUUUUACGUAUACUGGAUCAGGUGGAAGAGAUUUAAAAGGAACUAAAGCGAAUCCCAAGAAUCUUCGCACUGCACCUCAAUCAAAAGAUCAAACAUUUACUAAAAUGAAUUUAGCAUUAUCACGGAAUGUAGAAACACACCAUCCUGUUCGAGUUAUAAGAGGAUAUAAAUGUCCGAGUGAAUUUGCACCUGAGUAUGGUUAUAGAUACGAUGGUUUGUACACCGUUGAAAAAAGUUGGUCAGCUGUCGGUUUGAGUGGUUUUAUUGUGUGUAAAUAUAUUUUAAAGAGAAUGGAAGAUCAAGCACCUCCGCCUUGGAAGGAAAGCAUACAGGAUGACAAUAAUAAUAUUGUCAAAGAAACAGAACACACGGAUGUUAAUGAAUAACGUAAAAUUGUCGCCACUUUUAAGAAUGUGUUUUUCGACCAAGCAACGCCGAGAAGAACUCGAUUGUUCUACUGUACGCAAGCCUGAAUUGGCUCAAUUAUUUUACUGUACGCAAGCCUAAAUUGCCAGAGGUUACUGUUUAAACAGACGAUAUAUUCAUCUUUCACAAAACAAUUGAAAUCUCACGUGGUUGUGUUGUUGUCGACAACGCGUAUCAGCUUCCACAAAACAAUUGAAAUCUCACGUGGUUGUGUUGUUGUCGACAACGCGUAUUGUGCAGAUCUACUUGUGGGCAAAGAUCUUUCCUGUUUUGUAUUUUUUCUUGGCCAUUAAAAAUAAAAAUAAAUGUUAUUGUUGUA